Molecule: non-coding RNA, 155 nt
Filed under: bovine gut metagenome
Source: RNAcentral
AUUCGGGUUCUCACCGAUUAAUAGGGAAUCCUGUGAAAAUCAGGAGCUAUGCCCGUAGCUGUGAGUUCCGCAAAAGGCUUUCGGCACAAAUGUCACUGAUAUUUUUAUCGGGAAGACGCCGAAAGGGGAACAAGCCAGAAGACCUGCCCGUUUCC